RNAcentral lists this ribosomal RNA (398 nucleotides) under uncultured bacterium. RNAcentral's name for it is "partial 16S ribosomal RNA". It matches the Rfam family "Bacterial small subunit ribosomal RNA", at positions 359 to 774 of the family's 1533-position model. The record is from RNAcentral.
GAAUCUUAGACAAUGGGGGAAACCCUGAUCUAGCCAUGCCGCGUGAUCGAUGAAGGCAUUAGGGUUGUAAAGAUCUUUCAGUGGGGAAGAUAAUGACGGUACCCACAGAAGAAGCCCCGGCUAACUUCGUGCCAGCAGCCGCGGUAAUACGAAGGGUGCUAGCGUUGUUCGGAUUUACUGGGCGUAAAGCGCACGUCGGCGGUUUGUUAAGUCAGAGGUGAAAUCCCGGAGCUCAACUCCGGAACUGCCUUUGAUACUGGCAAGCUAGAGUCCGGAAGAGUUGAGUGGAACUCCUAGUGUAGAGGUGGAAUUCGUAGAUAUUAGGAAGAACACCAGUGGCGAAGGCGGCUCACUGGUCCGGUACUGACGCUGAGGUGCGAAAGCGUGGGGAGCAAACA